RNAcentral lists this ribosomal RNA (240 nucleotides) under uncultured Acanthamoeba. RNAcentral describes it as "partial 18S ribosomal RNA". It matches the Rfam family "Eukaryotic small subunit ribosomal RNA", at positions 97 to 279 of the family's 1831-position model. Lineage: Eukaryota; Discosea; Longamoebia; Acanthamoebidae. The record is from RNAcentral.
CUCAUUAAAUCAGUUAUAGUUUAUUUGAUGGUCUCUUUGUUCUCUUUUUACCUACUUGGAUAACCGUGGUAAUUCUAGAGCUAAUACAUGCGCAAGGUCCCAAGCGCGGAGAGUAAGGCUUUCAACGGCUUUAUUCUUGCAUGCGUAGCGGGAUGUAUUUAUUAGGUUAAACAACCAGCAAUUCUUUAAAACGGAAUUCAUUCUGGUGAUUCAUAGUAACUCUUUCGGAUCGCAUUCAUA